AGUGGGGAAUAUUGGACAAUGGGCGAAAGCCUGACGCAGCCAUGCCGCGUGAAUGAUGAAGGUCUUAGGAUUGUAAAAUUCUUUCACCGGGGACGAUAAUGACGGUACCCGGAGAAGAAGCUCCGGCUAACUUCGUGCCAGCAGCCGCGGUAAUACGAAGGGGGCUAGCGUUGCUCGGAAUUACUGGGCGUAAAGGGCGCGUAGGCGGACAGUUUAGUCAGAGGUGAAAGCCCAGGGCUCAACCUUGGAAUAGCCUUUGAUACUGACUGUCUUGAGUACGGGAGAGGUGUGUGGAACUCCGAGUGUAGAGGUGAAAUUCGUAGAUAUUCGGAAGAACACCAGUGGCGAAGGCGACACACUGGCCCGUUACUGACGCUGAGGCGCGAAAGCGUGGGGAGCAAACAGGAUUAGAUACCCUGGUAGUCCACGCUGUAAACGAUGAGUGCUAGUUGUCGGCAUGCAUGCAUGUCGGUGACGCAGCUAACGCAUUAAGCACUCCGCCUGGGGCGUACGGUCGCAAGAUUA
This 525-nucleotide ribosomal RNA is filed under the name uncultured bacterium. RNAcentral's name for it is "bacterial SSU rRNA". It matches the Rfam family "Bacterial small subunit ribosomal RNA", at positions 353 to 896 of the family's 1533-position model. The record is from RNAcentral.